UACGAAGGGUGCAAGCGUUACUCGGAAUUACUGGGCGUAAAGCGUGCGUAGGUGGUUUGUUAAGUCUGUUGUGAAAGCCCCGGGCUCAACCUGGGAAUGGCAAUGGAUACUGGCAGGCUAGAGUGCGGUAGAGGGUAGUGGAAUUCCCGGUGUAGCGGUGAAAUGCGUAGAGAUCGGGGAGGAACACCGUGGCGAAGGCGGCUACCUGGACCAGCAC
This 217-nucleotide ribosomal RNA is filed under the name uncultured bacterium. RNAcentral describes it as "partial 16S ribosomal RNA". It matches the Rfam family "Bacterial small subunit ribosomal RNA", at positions 524 to 740 of the family's 1533-position model. The record is from RNAcentral.